RNAcentral lists this ribosomal RNA (492 nucleotides) under uncultured bacterium. RNAcentral's name for it is "partial 16S ribosomal RNA". It matches the Rfam family "Bacterial small subunit ribosomal RNA", at positions 29 to 507 of the family's 1533-position model. The record is from RNAcentral.
AGUGAACGCUGGCGGUAGGCCUAACACAUGCAAGUCGAACGGCAGCACAGCAAGAGCUUGCUCUUACGGGUGGCGAGUGGCGGACGGGUGAGGAAUACAUCGGAAUCUACUUUUUCGUGGGGGAUAACGUAGGGAAACUUACGCUAAUACCGCAUACGACCUACGGGUGAAAGCAGUGGAUCUUCGGACCUUGCGCGAUUGAAUGAGCCGAUGUGGGAUUAGCUAGUUGGCGGGGUAAAGGCCCACCAAGGCGACGAUCCGUAGCUGGUCUGAGAGGAUGAUCAGCCACACUGGAACUGAGACACGGUCCAGACUCCUACGGGAGGCAGCAGUGGGGAAUAUUGGACAAUGGGCGCAAGCCUGAUCCAGCCAUACCGCGUGGGUGAAGAAGGCCUUCGGGUUGUAAAGCCCUUUUGUUGGGAAAGAAAAGCAGCAGGUUAAUACCCCGCUGUUCUGACGGUACCCAAAGAAUAAGCACCGGCUAACUUCGUG